CACAGACCUGCUCCUCUUUAAACUACCUGGCACCUUCUGCAGACACCAAAAAGUGGGAAGGAUGUUUUGCCACAGUUGUUCAUUAAUUCAGUUACAAUGUGAUUAUUUUAAGUUGUGUUAUUCACAUCUUAUGUGUGUGUGCUUGGAAUUACUUUCUGUCCUUGUGGAAUCAGUGAGAAAAGAUCCAUUUCCUUCCACAGAGCAUGAAAUCAGGAAAUCAAGGGCAUACAUUUCUUAA
Molecule: long non-coding RNA, 238 nt
Filed under: Cyanistes caeruleus (blue tit)
Lineage: Eukaryota; Metazoa; Chordata; Aves; Passeriformes; Paridae
Description: lncRNA (ENSCCEG00000003463.1)
Source: RNAcentral